UUUCGCAAUGCCCGAAAGGGUGACGAAGCGACGCCGCGUGUGGGAAGAAGGCCUUCGGGUUGUAAACCACUGUCGGGAGUUAGGAAAUGUAAGGGUGCUAAUAGUAUCCUUACUUGACUAAGGCUCCGGAGGAAGCCACGGCUAACUCUGUGCCAGCAGCCGCGGUAAUACAGAGGCGGCAAGCGUUGUUCGGAAUUAUUGGGCGUAAAGAGCACGUAGGCGGCCUUGUAAGUCAGUUGUGAAAGCCUUCUGCUUAACGGAAGAACAGCAGCUGAUACUGCAAGGCUAGAGUGCGGAAGGGGAGAGUGGAACUUCUGGUGGAGCGGUGAAAUGCGUAGAUAUCAGAAGGAACACCGGCGGCGAAGGCGACUCUCUGGUCCGUAACUGACGCUGAGUGUGCGAAAGCUAGGGGAGCAAACGGUAUUAGAUACCCCGGUAGUCCUAACCGUAAACGAUGGGCACUAAGUAGAGGGGUUUUA
RNAcentral lists this ribosomal RNA (479 nucleotides) under uncultured Planctomycetota bacterium. RNAcentral's name for it is "bacterial SSU rRNA". It matches the Rfam family "Bacterial small subunit ribosomal RNA", at positions 364 to 833 of the family's 1533-position model. Lineage: Bacteria; Pseudomonadati; Planctomycetota. The record is from RNAcentral.